GAGAAUUAACACUAGCAUGAACAAGUAAAACGCAAUGAUCCAACUAAGGAUUUCAAAUCAGUUUAGUAGAAAUGACAAGAGGUCUAAAUACCUCAGUUCAAUACCAAGUUGUUCAGAGAAUUAAUCAAUUAAGAUAUUUCGUUUACAUCUUCAUCAUCUUUUACAGGUCAUUGAGCAGUCUUAAGCUAGAGGAUAUUAAACUUUGUUUGAUUAGUGUAGCAACCAAUCAAAAUUGUCAUUUUGACCAGCUAAGAUUCAGUUGAAUUCCAGUAGUUAGUUUGUAUUUCCAUAACAGAUGCAAAUGAUCAAAAAAACCUAAACUAGCAUUUUACGAAGAAAUAGUCUUCUAAAGCAUGCAGCAAUUUGAGUAGAGCACUGAGUUGGUAUUUUAGCAGUCGUACCAACUUCCAUGCCCAUCGUGGAAAGGGAUCACAGUGCAGCCCUCUUUGAAAAGUCAGAGGCCAAAAUAAGGACUGCACACUAAUGCAAUUACGUGCAGUUUCCAUUUCAAGAUUCUUACUUUAACAAUAUCUAGUGAAACUUAAAUUCAGUUAUAACUUACUCAUGGUGCCAAUGAUUGCCAAACCAAACCAACUGCUCACUUGCAAAGCUGCACUGAAGUGCAGUACAGCAGCACUUACUUGGAAUGCUGCCAAGAUAUCGGUAUCUUUGGUUUCAAGUGAACAUACUAAGAACUACUCAGGUUAACCUACGUAUGACCAGCUCAACUGGAACUUCCCGAGUGUUUUAUGACAAUGGCACAAUGGGGACGUAGAACUCCAAAGGAAUCAAGAAGAAGGCAAGGUGUCACACAGCUGGAACUUCCCUAUGGUGGUAAUUGGUGCUAUGACAUGGAUAUGGCCUACAUCCUCUGUGCAAACUUCAGCCGAUAGUAGUGCUGGACAAUAGUACAACCACCAUGGUUUACUAUCCUACCUGUGUGCCAUUGAUGUGGAGAAUCAUUCUCCUCAUUAACACUACUUUAAGAUUUAAUGCAUGAAAGUCACAGCCCCUAAUGCUUUGCUACCAACAUUUAAAGAUGAAAGCUGGCCAUAAAUGACUGCACAAGAUGUUGUAAUGACUAACUCCAGCAAAAGUUAAAAAGGAAAAUGUUGCGAAAGCUGCUGGGGAUUGUACGAAGAGCCAGAAGCAUAUAACCAGACCUCUGUAACCACGAGAUUCUUCAGUUCAUCACAUUUGCUUCUUCUCAAAGUUAAAACUAACAUAUUUUAGCACCAAGUCUCAACCCCAAAGACCAGAGCAAGGAAGCCCUUCACACGAACUGUCUCAUUGAAUCUCAUCUAUCUUGAUAAGCAGUAUGCAGAAGAACAAACACUAGCAGCGCAGCAGUGCAAAUUUGGAAGGAAAUAUGAUAAGUCUUGUUGAGUUUGCUUAAUUAUAACCCGUUGCAGAUUUAUAGCUUAUCUUCUCUGUGUAGCUAGAGAUGCUUUCAAGCUCAAUACUUUUCAGCUAAUAUAAGCAUCUAAGAAUUACGAUGCAAUCAUUGCAGAACUGGGAUUAUAGCCUUUUUUACAAUACAUAUUUCAACUGCAAGUUAAUAGCCAGAGCCCGGACGUCAGGUUAAAGUGGAUUGCGAAAUGCAAAGGCUAGUUCUAAACUUCGAGAGCCCAACAUUUUGAACACUAUACUCUUGGGACCAUUUCCAUUUUCUCGCUUCGUUUUCUUCUAUUUCUUCCAUCUAUCUUCUUCUUCUUCUUUUUUUCUGAAUUAUUCUUCUCUUCCAAUUUUCUCAUCCAAAAACAAAAUAUGAAACUGAGCUAAAGUCUUUCCCGUUUGCAGCUGAGACCAACUAAUAGCCCAAUUAAUGGAAACAUCUGUGGCAUGAAACUCAAAGGCUUCACUGUUUACUAAAGAUUACCUCGCUAAUCAUCAUAGUCUCAUUAAGCUGCCCAAACCAUUUCAACUAAUAUUUAACAAUUGACACAUCACACAAGCACAAAAAAUCAAACUGUGCAAUUAAAUGCACCGCAAAACAAACAAGGAAAAAAAAAA
Coffea arabica (coffee) is the source of this 2013-nucleotide non-coding RNA. The record is from RefSeq and is a predicted model, not a curated record. Lineage: Eukaryota; Viridiplantae; Streptophyta; Magnoliopsida; Gentianales; Rubiaceae.